Molecule: ribosomal RNA, 819 nt
Filed under: Acinetobacter variabilis
Lineage: Bacteria; Pseudomonadati; Pseudomonadota; Gammaproteobacteria; Moraxellales; Moraxellaceae
Description: partial 16S ribosomal RNA
Rfam family: Bacterial small subunit ribosomal RNA
Source: RNAcentral
UUGGGGGGCAACCCCCCCACGAGGGUUUUUUGUUGGGGUUUUGAGGCCCCUUUCCCCCCACUGGGGCUCCCCCCCCCCCCGAUUUUUACGGGGGGCGGGAGUUGGGAAAUUUGGCCAAUGGCGGGAACCCCCCUCCCGCCAAGGGGGGGGGGGGGAAGAAGGCCUUUUAGUUCAAAAACCACUUUAAGGGGGGGGGGGGGCUUUCCUUGUUAAUCCCGGGAUAAGGGGCCGUUCCUACCAGAAAAAGCACCGGAUAAUUUUGUGCCAGCAGGCGCGGUAAUACAGAGGGUGCAAGCGUUAAUUUGAUUUACUGGGAGUAAAGCGCGCGUAGGUGGCUAAUUAAGUCAAAUGAGAAAUCCCCGAGCUUAACUUGGGAAUCGCAUUCGAUACUGGUUAGCUAGAGUAUGGGAGAGGAUGGUAGAAUCCCAGGUGUAGCGGUGAAAUGCGUAGAGAUCUGGAGGAAUACCGAUGGCGAAGGCAGCCAUCUGGCCUAAUACUGACACUGAGGUGCGAAAGCAUGGGGAGCAAACAGGAUUAGAUACCCUGGUAGUCCAUGCCGUAAACGAUGUCUACUAGCCGUUGGGGCCCUUGAGGCUUUAGUGGCGCAGCUAACGCGAUAAGUAGACCGCCUGGGGAGUACGGUCGCAAGACUAAAACUCAAAUGAAUUGACGGGGGCCCGCACAAGCGGUGGAGCAUGUGGUUUAAUUCGAUGCAACGCGAAGAACCUUACCUGGCCUUGACAUACAGAGAACUUUCCAGAGAUGGAUUGGUGCCUUCGGGAACUCUGAUACAGGUGCUGCAUGGCUGUCGUCAGCUCG